UCUCUCAUCGUAUAAGGGUAGAUUACACACAUGAUAUCGACAAAGAUAGCCAUUCUCUGUAGGAUCUGGGUUCAAAUCCCAGUGAGAGAA
Molecule: non-coding RNA, 90 nt
Organism: Pluteus cervinus
Lineage: Eukaryota; Fungi; Basidiomycota; Agaricomycetes; Agaricales; Pluteaceae
Source: the annotation of a GenBank genome assembly